CCUACGGGGGGCAGCAGUGGGGAAUAUUGCACAAUGGGCGCAAGCCUGAUGCAGCCAUGCCGCGUGUGUGAAGAAGGCCUUCGGGUUGUAAAGCACUUUCAGCGGGGAGGAAGGCGUUAAGGUUAAUAACCUUGUCGAUUGACGUUACCCGCAGAAGAAGCACCGGCUAACUCCGUGCCAGCAGCCGCGGUAAUACGGAGGGUGCAAGCGUUAAUCGGAAUUACUGGGCGUAAAGCGCACGCAGGCGGUCUGUCAAGUCGGAUGUGAAAUCCCCGGGCUCAACCUGGGAACUGCAUUCGAAACUGGCAGGCUAGAGGCUUGUAGAGGGGGGUAGAAUUCCAGGUGUAGCGGUGAAAUGCGUAGAGAUCUGGAGGAAUACCGGUGGCGAAGGCGGCCCCCUGGACAAAGACUGACGCUCAGGUGCGAAAGCGUGGGGAGCAAACAGGAUUAGAUACCCGGGUAGUC
This 465-nucleotide ribosomal RNA is filed under the name uncultured Klebsiella sp. RNAcentral describes it as "bacterial SSU rRNA". It matches the Rfam family "Bacterial small subunit ribosomal RNA", at positions 338 to 795 of the family's 1533-position model. Lineage: Bacteria; Pseudomonadati; Pseudomonadota; Gammaproteobacteria; Enterobacterales; Enterobacteriaceae. The record is from RNAcentral.